GAGUUUGAUCAUGGCUCAGAUUGAACGCUGGCGGCAGGCCUAACACAUGCAAGUCGAGCGGAUGACGGGAGCUUGCUCCUUGAUUCAGCGGCGGACGGGUGAGUAAUGCCUAGGAAUCUGGCCUGGUAGUGGGGAACAACGUUUCGAAGGAACGCUAAUACCGCAUACGUCCUACGGGAGAAAGCAGGGGACCUUCGGGCCUUGCGCUAUCAGAUGAGCCUAGGUCGGAUUAGCUAGUUGGUGGGGUAAUAGGCUCACCAAGGCGACGAUCCGUAACUGGUCUGAGAGGAUGAUCAGUCACACUGGAACUGAGACACGGUCCAGACCUCCGUACGGGAGGCAGCAGGUGGGGAAUAUUGGACAAGUGGGCGAAAGCCUGAUCCAGCCAUGCCGCGUGUGUGAAG
Molecule: ribosomal RNA, 404 nt
Filed under: bacterium enrichment culture clone ALO1_GLFRUDD03G63YM
Lineage: Bacteria
Description: bacterial SSU rRNA
Rfam family: Bacterial small subunit ribosomal RNA
Source: RNAcentral